AUUGAAAGCCGAAAGGCCCAACCAGAAAACAUUUCCCACAGGCGUCUGUCUCCUCCUCCUCCUCGUCGUCUCCACGGCGACAGCGCCGCCGCUUCUCGGUCGCCGGCGCACCCGCCGUCUCUUCGGCCGGCGGGGGCUCUCGAGGAAGGCUUCCGCGCCGCCAUCAGUACCCCGAAUCGGGUACGCACUUCGCAACGCGCGGCCAUCUCUUCUCUAUUACUACUCUUCCCUGCGUGUGAAUCUGAACAGGACGAGUUACUCUUAUUAUUAUUAUUAUUUCUUAUCGGUUUACCUCAAUCUUUUGUACAAUGCUGAUGAUAAUAAAACUAGUAGCACAUGAUUCUCAAAUUGUACAUCCUUUCUCAAAGUACAAAUGAUUUUGACGAAUUCAAGUACUGACCAUCUUUCAGAAUGCUCAUUCUGCACACCUGAGUUGUGUCAACUGAAUGAUGGUCUUUAACUAAGUAGGUAAAUUUAUUGACCCAAAUCAUCUUAUGCUCAUAUCAUAAUUGAAGAAACCCUAGCCUGGAUAGUAACAUCUGAUCUAACAGCACACCAAGUGCAAAGAACAAGCCCACUGUGAUGCCAAAGAUGUUGACACUGAAGUUAUCUGUGUAAAAUGCAGGCGUGGGAAUAGCUUUUGCUGAAUUACACUGGCGACUGAUCAUAGGACCACAUAGCUUUGGAUUACCAUCAAAGCUUGAAUUAUCAAAUGUAUCGAACU
RNAcentral lists this long non-coding RNA (724 nucleotides) under Oryza sativa (Asian cultivated rice). RNAcentral describes it as "long non-coding RNA (OSAT_LNC000258)". The record is from RNAcentral. Lineage: Eukaryota; Viridiplantae; Streptophyta; Magnoliopsida; Poales; Poaceae.